This 71-nucleotide transfer RNA is filed under the name Capra hircus (goat). It matches the Rfam family "tRNA". From Rfam's summary of the family: Transfer RNA (tRNA) molecules are approximately 80 nucleotides in length. Their secondary structure includes four short double-helical elements and three loops (D, anti-codon, and T loops). Further hydrogen bonds mediate the characteristic L-shaped molecular structure. tRNAs have two regions of fundamental functional importance: the anti-codon, which is responsible for specific mRNA codon recognition, and the 3' end, to which the tRNAs corresponding amino acid is attached (by aminoacyl-tRNA synthetases). tRNAs cope with the degeneracy of the genetic code in two manners: having more than one tRNA (with a specific anti-codon) for a particular amino acid; and 'wobble' base-pairing, i.e. permitting non-standard base-pairing at the 3rd anti-codon position. The record is from Rfam by way of RNAcentral. Lineage: Eukaryota; Metazoa; Chordata; Mammalia; Artiodactyla; Bovidae. RNAcentral also lists the same sequence under 1 other name.
UCCUGGUGGCUCAGAUGGUAAAGCAUCUGUCUAAAGUGCAGGAGACCCAAGUUCAAUCCCUGGGUCAGGAA